ACGCUGGCGGCACGCCUAACACAUGCAAGUCGAACGCAGUAGCAAUACUGAGUGGCGAACGGGUGAGUAUAAUGUGGGUAUCUGCCUUUUGGUUCGGAAUAACAUGAGGAAACUUAUGCUAAUACCGGAUAAGCCCUUACGGGGAAAGUUUUAACGCCAGAAGAUGAGCCCGCACUUGAUUAGCUAGUUGGUAAGGUAAUGGCUUACCAAGGCUACGAUCAAUAGCUGAUCUGAGAGGAUGAUCAGCCACAUUGGGACUGAGACACGGCCCAGACUCCUACGGGAGGCAGCAGUGGGGAAUCUUGCACAAUGGGGGAAACCCUGAUGCAGCGAUGCCGCGUGAGUGAAGAAGGCCUUUGGGUUGUAAAGCUCUUUCGUCGGGGAAGAAAAUGACUGUACCCGAAUAAGAAGGUCCGGCCAACUUCGUGCCAGCAGCCGCGGUAAUACGAAGGGACCUAGCGUAGUUCGGAAUUACUGGGCUUAAAGAGCACGUAGGUGGUUAGAAAAGUUGAUGGUGAAAUCCCAAGGCUUAACCUUGGAACUGCCAUCAAAACUUUUUAACUAGAGUAUGAUAGAGGUAAGCGGAAUUUCUAGUGUAGAGGUGAAAUUCGUAGAUAUUAGAAAGAACACCAAUUGCGAAGGCAGCUUUCUGGAUCAUUACUGACACUGAGGUGCGAAAGCAUGGGUAGCGAAGAGGAUUAGAUACCCUCGUAGUCCAUGCCGUAAACGAUGUGUGCUAGACGUUGGAAAUUUUAUUUUCAGUGUCGCAGCAAAAGCGUUAAGCACACCGCCUGGGGAGUACGACCGCAAAGGUUAAAACUUAAAUGGAGAUGCGG
This 836-nucleotide ribosomal RNA is filed under the name alpha proteobacterium SCGC AAA008-I19. RNAcentral describes it as "SSU rRNA". It matches the Rfam family "Bacterial small subunit ribosomal RNA", at positions 33 to 916 of the family's 1533-position model. The record is from RNAcentral. Lineage: Bacteria; Pseudomonadati; Pseudomonadota; Alphaproteobacteria.